This 332-nucleotide ribosomal RNA is filed under the name uncultured eukaryote. RNAcentral's name for it is "bacterial SSU rRNA". It matches the Rfam family "Eukaryotic small subunit ribosomal RNA", at positions 592 to 921 of the family's 1831-position model. The record is from RNAcentral.
CAAUAGCGUAUAUUAAAGUUGUUGCGGUUAAAAGCUCGUAGUUGGAUUUCUGCCGAGGAUGACCGGUCCGCCCUGUGGGUGUGCAUCUGGCUCAGCCUUGGCAUCUUCCUGAAGAACGUAGCUGCACUUGACUGUGUGGUGCGGUAUUUAGGACAUUUACUUUGAGGAAAUUAGAGUGUUUCAAGCAAGCGCACGCUUUGAAUACAUUAGCAUGGAAUAAUAAGAUAGGACCUCGGUCUAUUUGUUUGGUUUCGUUAGAGCUGAGGUAAUAGAUUGAUAGGGAGUAGUUGGGGGUCGGAUUCGUAUUUAACUUAGUCAGAGGUGGAAAUUAC